AGGUACAAAUAUAACAUAUCAUAGAAUGCACUAUCUCAACUAUCCAAGUUCAAUGCAUCGAAUGCACCAAAUUAACAUAUAUAAUGAUAUACACAACUUAGUAUUUAUAUGAAUUCUGUGAACAUGAAUCAAUAAUCUAAUAUGCCUGAACAAAACUCAAGCUUCACUCAGCACCAGCGCUCCAUCACAUAUCAAUCCUGAAUGUUCACUGCUUGGGUGUUUUAGGUGAUGCAACUACUCAUGAG
RNAcentral lists this long non-coding RNA (245 nucleotides) under Solanum tuberosum (potato). RNAcentral describes it as "long non-coding RNA (STUB_LNC010839)". The record is from RNAcentral. Lineage: Eukaryota; Viridiplantae; Streptophyta; Magnoliopsida; Solanales; Solanaceae.